Molecule: ribosomal RNA, 515 nt
Filed under: uncultured marine bacterium
Lineage: Bacteria
Description: bacterial SSU rRNA
Rfam family: Bacterial small subunit ribosomal RNA
Source: RNAcentral
AGUGGCAGACGGGUGAGUAACAUGUACGUAUCUACCCUUUGGCCUGGAAUAACACGAGGAAACUUGUGCUAAUACCGGAUAAGUCUUUACGGAGAAAGCUUUAUGCACCAUUGGAUGAGCCUGCACUUGAUUAGUUUGUUGGUGGGGUAAUGGCCUACCAAGACUGUGAUCAAUAGCUGAUUUGAGAGGAUGAUCAGCCACAUUGGGACUGAGACACGGCCCAAACUCCUACGGGAGGCAGCAGUGGGGAAUCUUGCACAAUGGAGGAAACUCUGAUGCAGCGAUGCCGCGUGAGUGAAGAAGGCCUUUGGGUUGUAAAGCCCUUUCGUCGGGGAAGAAAAUGACGGCACCCGAAUAAGAAGGUCCGGCUAACUUCGUGCCAGCAGCCGCGGUAAUACGAAGGGACCUAGCGUAGUUCGGAAUUACUGGGCUUAAAGAGUUCGUACGUGGUUAAAAAAGUUGGUUGUGAAAUCCCGAAGCUUAACUUCGGAACUGCAAUCAAAACUUUUUAGCUA